Molecule: ribosomal RNA, 463 nt
Filed under: uncultured bacterium
Lineage: Bacteria
Description: partial 16S ribosomal RNA
Rfam family: Bacterial small subunit ribosomal RNA
Source: RNAcentral
GACGAACGCUGGCGGCGUGCUUAACACAUGCAAGUCGUACGGUAAGGCCCUUUCGGGGGUACACGAGUGGCGAACGGGUGAGUAACACGUGAGUAACCUGCCCACAACUUUGGGAUAACGCUAGGAAACUGGUGCUAAUACUGGAUAUGUGCUCCUGCUGCAUGGUGGGGGUUGGAAAGCUCCGGCGGUUGUGGAUGGACUCGCGGCCUAUCAGCUUGUUGGUGGGGUAGUGGCCUACCAAGGCGGCGACGGGUAGCCGGCCUGAGAGGGUGACCGGCCACAUGGGGACUGAGAAACGGCCCAGACACCAACGGGGGGCAGCAGGGGGGAAUUGUGCACAAGGGGGGCAAGCGUGAUGCGGCACCGCCGCGUGCGGGAUGAUGCCCUUCGGGUUGUAAACCGCUUUCAGCGGGGACAAAGCUUUUUGUGAGGGUACCUGCAGAAAAAGCACCGGCUAAAUACG